GACGAACGCUGGCGGCGUGCUUAACACAUGCAAGUCGAACGGAAAGGCCCUGCUUUUGUGGGGUGCUCGAGUGGCGAACGGGUGAGUAACACGUGAGUAACCUGCCCUUGACUUUGGGAUAACUUCAGGAAACUGGGGCUAAUACCGGAUAGGAGCUCCUGCUGCAUGGUGGGGGUUGGAAAGUUUCGGCGGUUGUGGAUGGACUCGCGGCUUAUCAGCUUGUUGGUGGGGUAGUGGCUUACCAAGGCUUUGACGGGUAGCCGGCCUGAGAGGGUGACCGGCCACAUGGGGACUGAGAUACGGCCCAGACUCCUACGGGAGGCAGCAGUGGGGAAUAUUGCACAAUGGGCGGAAGCCUGAUGCAGCAACGCCGCGUGCGGGAUGACGGCCUUCGGGUUGUAAACCGCUUUCGCCUGUGACGAAGCGGGAGUGACGGUAAUGGGUAAAGAAGCACCGGCUAACUACGUG
RNAcentral lists this ribosomal RNA (468 nucleotides) under uncultured bacterium. RNAcentral's name for it is "partial 16S ribosomal RNA". It matches the Rfam family "Bacterial small subunit ribosomal RNA", at positions 28 to 507 of the family's 1533-position model. The record is from RNAcentral.